RNAcentral lists this transfer RNA (69 nucleotides) under Gabronthus thermarum. RNAcentral describes it as "tRNA-Gln". It matches the Rfam family "tRNA". Rfam says of the family: Transfer RNA (tRNA) molecules are approximately 80 nucleotides in length. Their secondary structure includes four short double-helical elements and three loops (D, anti-codon, and T loops). The record is from RNAcentral. Lineage: Eukaryota; Metazoa; Arthropoda; Insecta; Coleoptera; Staphylinidae.
UAUAAAUUAGUAUAAGAUGUACAUAAGUUUUUGAUACUUAAGGAAAUAGUUUAAGUCUGUUAUUUAUAA